Molecule: non-coding RNA, 121 nt
Organism: Picea glauca (white spruce)
Lineage: Eukaryota; Viridiplantae; Streptophyta; Pinopsida; Pinales; Pinaceae
Source: Rfam
ACAUGCUUACAACAUAGCGUUAAUGCACUGAAUCCCAUUAGAACUUCACAGUUAAGCAUGCUCGAGCUAGAGUAAUACUCGGAUGGGUCAUCGCUCGAGAAGUCCUAGUAUUUUACAUGCC